RNAcentral lists this ribosomal RNA (254 nucleotides) under uncultured bacterium. Its description in RNAcentral is "partial 16S ribosomal RNA". It matches the Rfam family "Bacterial small subunit ribosomal RNA", at positions 524 to 776 of the family's 1533-position model. The record is from RNAcentral.
UACGGGAGGAUCCAAGCGUUAUCCGGAAUCAUUGGGUUUAAAGGGUCCGUAGGCGGUUUGGUAAGUCAGUGGUGAAAGCCCAUCGCUCAACGGUGGAACGGCCAUUGAUACUGCCAGACUUGAAUUAUUAGGAAGUAACUAGAAUAUGUAGUGUAGCGGUGAAAUGCUUAGAGAUUACAUGGAAUACCAAUUGCGAAGGCAGGUUACUACUAAUGGAUUGACGCUGAUGGACGAAAGCGUGGGUAGCGAACAGG